AUGAGUGGUGUUUGGUUUGAUACGGGUGGUCGGCUCCCUGCUUGAGCAGGCACGGCCACGCGUGCAUUCCUUUUCAGUAGUGCGGCAAGGCUUGUAUCGUCUUGAUCGUAUAAGUGGGUUUCUUGUGUUGCAUACCUGAUCAAUGGCAUCGUUUUGAUCAAAAUGGUACCUUUUUCGUCUGACGAUGCACUUAUUGCGUUGUCGGAUGAACCGUGUAGCAUCCUCUUUGAUCCAUACAGUUGACGUGUACUCGUUGAUUGUUUGGCCCGUUGAGGGUGACUUGGUCUCUCGGAUAUGGAAGCCAAAGUGGGCAUGGGUUCGCAAGAUCCCUUUAUUGCCCUCAUUGAGCGUUCUCGCUUCUCUUACACGACUGCCUUUCACGUAUGGCACGUCCCAGCGUGUUUGGCUAUGUCGAAGAGGAAU
This 423-nucleotide unclassified non-coding RNA is filed under the name Solidago ptarmicoides. RNAcentral describes it as "partial external transcribed spacer". The record is from RNAcentral. Lineage: Eukaryota; Viridiplantae; Streptophyta; Magnoliopsida; Asterales; Asteraceae.